GCCAGCAACCAUAUCGCCAUGGCAGCCCCACUGAAACUCAGCAGGUGUGAGCCUGGUCAGUACCUGGAUGGGUGACCUCCUGGGAAAAACUAAGGUUGCUGCUGGAA
Molecule: ribosomal RNA, 107 nt
Filed under: Lepisosteus oculatus (spotted gar)
Lineage: Eukaryota; Metazoa; Chordata; Actinopteri; Semionotiformes; Lepisosteidae
Source: RNAcentral